Molecule: long non-coding RNA, 879 nt
Filed under: Piliocolobus tephrosceles (Ugandan red Colobus)
Lineage: Eukaryota; Metazoa; Chordata; Mammalia; Primates; Cercopithecidae
Description: lncRNA (ENSPTEG00000021224.1)
Source: RNAcentral
UGUUUUCUACUUCAUCAUAUUUUUUUUUCAGGUUUUAUUACUGCUAAAGAACUUUUCAUCAUAUCAUCUGUUUUUUUAUUUUGUGAGCAUAUGUUUUUUUUUUUUUUUUUUUUUUUUUUUUUUUUUUUUUUUUUUUUUUUUUUUUUUUUUUUUUAAAAAAUCAUUUUUGCAUAGUUUACCUUGUCCCUUUUGUUUCUUCUCUCGUUGCUCUUCUUCCCAUUCCACUUUUUCCCAUUCUACUUCUUCUCCAUCUUCCCUUACGUUACAACAAUUCACUUUUAAUAAAUUAACAGUUUUAAUAAAGUUUUUAUUUAUAUUAUCCAUACUAUUCAUCCUUGUUGAUAAAUUAAUAAGAGUAGAAAUAAAACAAUUAAAACUUAUUUUUUGUUUUUUCAUUGUGUAUGUUAUAUCUAUGUAAUGCUAUAAACUUAAAUACUUUAUUUAAAUAUCUUAUAAAAUUCUUUUCCCCCCCAGCAGGUUAACUUGUUUUUCGUAAUGCCAUAACCAUUUGCAUGACCAUUUAUAUUUACAUUUUUUUUUCAAAAGGGGUUGUCUUUGCUUUACGAUAUUAGGAUGAAUAUAAUUUUUGCCUUUUCUUUUCUUGACUUUAUAAAACCAUGAGUACGAUAAUAAUAUUGGCGUUUGAAAUAAGCUAUACAAAACAUAAUACAAAUAAUGUUUAUUAUUACAUUUUAUAUUACUUUGCAGAAAAAAAUAUAUUUUCUUAUAAAUAGUUUUCCUUACUUUUGUAUAACAACAUUCUUUAUUCCAAUAAUAUUUAUAAAAUUCGAUACAAUUCUUUAUGUUUAAUGAAUCAUUAUUAAAAAUAAUACGUUUUAUAAUAUUAAAAAAUAAAUUUUUUUUUUUUUUUUUUUUGCA